Molecule: ribosomal RNA, 403 nt
Filed under: Verrucomicrobiota bacterium
Lineage: Bacteria; Pseudomonadati; Verrucomicrobiota
Description: Verrucomicrobia bacterium partial 16S ribosomal RNA
Rfam family: Bacterial small subunit ribosomal RNA
Source: RNAcentral
UGGGGAAUAUUGCACAAUGGGGGAAACCCUGAUGCAGCGACGCCGCGUGAGCGAAGAAGGCUUUCGAGUCGUAAAGCUCUGUCCUAUGAGAAGAUAAUGACGGUAUCAUAGGAGGAAGCCCUGGCUAAAUACGUGCCAGCAGCCGCGGUAAUACGUAUGGGGCGAGCGUUGUCCGGAAUUAUUGGGCGUAAAGGGUACGUAGGCGGUUUUUUAAGUCAGGUGUCAAAGCGUGGAGCUUAACUCCAUUAAGCACUUGAAACUGAAAGACUUGAGUGAAGGAGAGGAAAGUGGAAUUCCUAGUGUAGCGGUGAAAUGCGUAGAUAUUAGGAGGAAUACCGGUGGCGAAGGCGACUUUCUGGACGAAAACUGACGCUGAGGCGCGAAAGCGUGGGGAGCAAACAGG